This 297-nucleotide ribosomal RNA is filed under the name uncultured bacterium. Its description in RNAcentral is "partial 16S ribosomal RNA". It matches the Rfam family "Bacterial small subunit ribosomal RNA", at positions 475 to 776 of the family's 1533-position model. The record is from RNAcentral.
CUAUGCGCCUUGCCAGCCCGCUCAGGUGUGCCAGCCGCGCGGUAAUACGGAGGGUGCAAGCGUUAAUCGGAAUUACUGGGCGUAAAGCGCACGCAGGCGGUUUGUUAAGUCAGAUGUGAAAUCCCCGGGCUCAACCUAGGAACUGCAUCUGAUACUGGCAAGCUUGAGUCUCGUAGAGGGGGGUAGAAUUCCAGGUGUAGCGGUGAAAUGCGUAGAGAUCUGGAGGAAUACCGGUGGCGAAGGCGGCCCCCUGGACGAAGACUGACGCUCAGGUGCGAAAGCGUGGGAGCAAACAGG